AACGAUGUAGUUUAUUUAGAAUUUUGAGUUUGCGUCUCAAGGGAGGAGUUUAUUCUCUUCGUUA
Molecule: transfer RNA, 64 nt
Filed under: Rhinebothroides sp. MZUSP 8027
Lineage: Eukaryota; Metazoa; Platyhelminthes; Cestoda; Rhinebothriidea; Rhinebothriidae
Also listed under: 2 other names
Description: tRNA-Ala
Source: RNAcentral